RNAcentral lists this unclassified non-coding RNA (2970 nucleotides) under Hevea brasiliensis (rubber tree). The record is from RNAcentral. Lineage: Eukaryota; Viridiplantae; Streptophyta; Magnoliopsida; Malpighiales; Euphorbiaceae.
AGAAAGAAAGAAAGAAAGAAGGAACAGCGACCUCUUCUCUUUUUGCUUUCUCUCUCUCUCUCUCUCUUAGUCUCGCUCUUAUCAGUCUCAGGCCCUAAGCCACCAUUCUUUUUUCUUACUUUUAUAUUUUAUUGUUAAAACUUCACCUCACUUUCUACAAGCCUUGGUUGCAAACACACACACACACACACUCAGUAAGUGCUGCGAGGAGCAGCAGCUAGCAAAGGGAAAGAAAAGGAGAGAAAAAGAAAGAAAGAGACGACAGAUUGAGAGACAACACAUAGCUAUUAGAGAGAUAAAGAAAGGAAUUCGCAGAAGCUUUCAAAACCACAGAAGAGAAAACGAUGGCUGAGAGCUUUACAUCCUUUCAUACUCUGCAACUUCAAGAGAAUUGAGCAAAGGGAAAGCGAAGACAAGUGGGUGACAAGAAAGUGAAUUAUAUACAAGAGAUGAUGAUCAUCAUCAUCAAUACCAAGAUACUAAUAUGGGGAUAGCAACACCACCGCUCCCUCCGAUUCUCUCUCACUCCAAGACUCACCAGUCGUCGGUUGCUCCAUUAAUUCCACCCAGGUCUAAUUCUGCCAAUUAUUCUAUGUCCCAAGACUACCACCAAGCAGGAAUCUUCUCUUUCUCGAAUGGCUUCGAGAGAUCCCAGGUAGCUCAUCACCAAGAACAUCACCAGCAGCAACAGCAUCACUUAGCCCAGCAGAUCCGCAGAGACAAACUUAGAGUUCAAGCAGGUUACGACCCACCUCCGGGGCCAUUAGUAGGCAUCGAAGAGGAAGAAUCCGGUGGCCUUCCGGUCUAUGAAACUGCCGGUAUGUUAUCAGAAAUGUUCAAUUUCCCUCCUGGAGGGCCUGCCACCGCUGCUGAAUUGUUGGACCAGCCGUUGCAGUCAAAUUACCGGACGGCGCAUCCGCGGCAACAGCAGCCAGUAACGACCAACGAGUGGUACAGCAACAACAGGCAAGGAAUGGUAGGAGUUUUGGGUCCUUUAGGGGAUUCAAAGAAUCAUAAUAGCCGCGAAAGUUUAGCUCACCAUCAUCAGAUUACAGGCAUUAAUGCAGAUUCGGCUGCUGCCAUGCAGCUUUUUCUCAUGAAUCCACAGCCAAGAUCACCAUCUCCUGCUCCUUCCCAUCCUCAUCAUCCUCCUGCGACUUCUUCUACACUUCACAUGUUGUUACCAAACCCAUCUACUUCUCUUCAAGGGUUUAGCGUGUCCGGUCCUGGAGGAGCUUUCGGCGCAAGUAGUGAGAUAUCUCCCCCACAAUUCACAUGGGUUCCUGGUAGUGCUCAUGAAGGAGCCAACACUGGUGCUCAGCUCAAUAACCCAGCUGAGAUUGGCAGUGUUGUGGAAGGGCAAGGACUCUCUUUGUCAUUAUCUUCAUCGUUGCAACACUUGGAAGCAGCCAAAGCAGAAGAAUUGCGGAUGGGGGAGGGCGGAUUAUUAUAUUACAAUCAAGGAGGGGGCUCUUCUUCUGGUGCUGCUCCAUAUUACAAGAAUUUGGGUGGUCAACACCAGGCAUUGCAUUUGCAAGCGGGAAUUGGGCAAAAUCACCAAGUACAUGUUGGGUUUGGAUCAUCUUUAGGAGUGGUUAAUGUUUUGAGGAAUUCCAAGUAUGUGAAAGCAGCCCAAGAGCUGUUAGAAGAGUUUUGCAGUGUGGGAAGGGGUCAAUUCAAGAAGAACAAAUUUACUAGGCAAAACACAAACCCUAGUUCCAAUAAUCCUGGCGGCAGUAGCGGCGGCGGCGGUUCUUCAUCUGCAACAAAAGAUCUCUCUCCUUUGUCAGCUGCCGAUAGGAUUGAGCACCAGAGGAGGAAGGUCAAACUUUUAUCCAUGCUUGAUGAGGUGGAUAGAAGAUAUAACCAUUACUGUGAACAAAUGCAAAUGGUUGUGAAUUCAUUUGAUCUGGUAAUGGGAUUUGGGGCAGCAGUUCCUUACACUGCGCUUGCCCAGAAGGCCAUGUCAAGGCAUUUUCGAUGUCUAAAGGAUGCAAUUGCAGCACAAUUGAAGCAUAGUUGUGAACUACUUGGGGAGAAAGAUGGAGCAGGGACCUCAGGCAUAACAAAAGGAGAGACUCCAAGGCUAAAAUUGCUAGAGCAAAGCUUAAGACAACAAAGAGCCUUCCACCAAAUGGGUAUGAUGGAACAAGACGCUUGGAGACCCCAAAGAGGCCUACCUGAACGAUCUGUCAACAUUUUGAGAGCUUGGCUUUUUGAGCAUUUUCUCCACCCGUAUCCAAGCGAUGCAGAUAAGCAUCUGUUGGCACGACAGACUGGUUUAUCAAGGAAUCAGGUUUCGAAUUGGUUCAUUAAUGCAAGGGUUCGGUUGUGGAAACCCAUGGUGGAAGAGAUGUAUCAACAAGAGGCAAAAGAAGAGGAAGGAGGAGAAGAAGAUAGAGAAAGAAAGCAAAACAACAACAACAAUAAUAACAAAAGUGGGGUUGCACUUGCACAGACACCAACACCGACAGAAUCCUCAUCAGCACCUCCCUCCACCACCGCAACACCACCACCAGCACCUCCAUCAGCAGCAGCAGGCAAAAGAUCCGAAAAUGCCAAUGAAAACGACCCAUCAAUUCUUGCAAUCAACAGACAAUGCUUCUCGGAAAACCAAGCAAAACACUCCCCUUCUUCCACCUCCACCACCAUUAUUACUCCCACCACAGAGGUAGGGGCACCACCACCCCAUGCCAAGCCUUUCCAUGACUUGACGGAUGAAACGUGUCGCCGUGGCAGCAGCAUGGUUGCUGCAGCUGAGCAUGGGACCACCUCUGUUCAGCAUGCCAAUGCUGGAACUGACAUUGGGUCUACUCUUAUAAGGUUUGGGACCACUGCCGCCGCUGGGGAUGUGUCGCUCACUCUAGGGCUACGCCAUGCCGGGAACAUGCCAGAGAAGGGUUCUGCUUUCUCUUUUAGGGACUUUGGGAACUGUUAAUUAAUUCAAACCCUUUCUUUCUUUCUUUCUUU